GACGAACGCUGGCGGCGUGCUUAACACAUGCAAGUCGAACGAAGAGCGAUGGAAGCUUGCUUCUAUCAAUCUUAGUGGCGAACGGGUGAGUAACGCGUAAUCAACCUGCCCUUCAGAGGGGGACAACAGUUGGAAACGACUGCUAAUACUGCAUACGAUCUAACCUCGGCAUCGAGGAUAGAUGAAAGGUGGCCUCUACAUGUAAGCUAUCACUGAAGGAGGGGAUUGCGUCUGAUUAGCUAGUUGGAGGGGUAACGGCCCACCAAGGCGAUGAUCAGUAGCCGGUCUGAGAGGAUGAACGGCCACAUUGGGACUGAGACACGGCCCAGACUCCUACGGGAGGCAGCAGUGGGGAAUCUUCCGCAAUGGACGAAAGUCUGACGGAGCAACGCCGCGUGAGUGAUGACGGCCAUCGGGUUGUAAAGCUCUGUUAAUCGGGACGAGAAGGCCUUCUUGCGAAUUUUCUUAGGAU
RNAcentral lists this ribosomal RNA (472 nucleotides) under Veillonella parvula. RNAcentral describes it as "bacterial SSU rRNA". It matches the Rfam family "Bacterial small subunit ribosomal RNA", at positions 28 to 469 of the family's 1533-position model. Lineage: Bacteria; Bacillati; Bacillota; Negativicutes; Veillonellales; Veillonellaceae. The record is from RNAcentral.